UUCCACAAGCACAGCUAAGCUAGCUGGCAUCCGUGGUCUGUGAUUUUUUUUUUAUUGGUUAAGUGGUCCUUGGUUUGACAAAGUUUAAGAAACACUGGUAGAGGUGGUGUGCUGUCAUGCUGUUAUUUCUGCAGUGAAAGCAAACAUUUUUGGUGGUGGUUUUCAGUUUCAUUUUUUAUUUUAUUUUUUGAAGUGGAUAGGAACCAUGUGUAUCAACUGACUGAAAGAGGAAUUCCCUGUAACCUUCCCAUUUAAAUGGAAGUUGUUUCAAAAUGUCUGGA
This is a long non-coding RNA of Alosa sapidissima (American shad), 281 nucleotides long. RefSeq lists it as uncharacterized. NCBI's taxonomy places the organism in Eukaryota, Metazoa, Chordata, Actinopteri, Clupeiformes, Clupeidae. The transcript is spliced from 2 exons. The record is from RefSeq and is a predicted model, not a curated record.